UCGGUCAGGGAUGGGCUCGCGGCCUAUCAGCUUGUUGGUGGGGUGAUGGCCUACCAAGGCGACGACGGGUAGCCGGCCUGAGAGGGCGACCGGCCACACUGGGACUGAGACACGGCCCAG
RNAcentral lists this ribosomal RNA (120 nucleotides) under uncultured bacterium. RNAcentral's name for it is "partial 16S ribosomal RNA". It matches the Rfam family "Bacterial small subunit ribosomal RNA", at positions 215 to 334 of the family's 1533-position model. The record is from RNAcentral.